This 253-nucleotide ribosomal RNA is filed under the name uncultured bacterium. RNAcentral's name for it is "partial 16S ribosomal RNA". It matches the Rfam family "Bacterial small subunit ribosomal RNA", at positions 524 to 776 of the family's 1533-position model. The record is from RNAcentral.
UACAGAGGGUGCAAGCGUUAAUCGGAAUUACUGGGCGUAAAGCGCGCGUAGGUGGUUUGUUAAGUUGGAUGUGAAAGCCCCGGGCUCAACCUGGGAACUGCAUCCAAAACUGGCAAGCCAGAGUACGGUAGAGGGUGGUGGAAUUUCCUGUGUAGCGGUGAAAUGCGUAGAUAUAGGAAGGAACACCAGUGGCGAAGGCGACCACCUGGACUGAUACUGACACUGAGGUGCGAAAGCGUGGGGAGCAAACAGG